CAGUAGCCACGGUAAUACAGAGGGUGCGAGCGUUAAUCGGAUUUACUGGGCGUAAAGGGCGCGUAGGCGGUUUAGUGAGUGUGAUGUGAAAGCCCCGGGCUUAACCUGGGAAGUGCAUCGCAAACGACUAAACUGGAGUAUAAGAGAGGGUGGCGGAAUUUCCGGUGUAGCGGUGAAAUGCGUAGAGAUCGGAAGGAACGUCAAUGGCGAAGGCAGCCACCUGGCUUAAUACUGACGCUGAGGCGCGAAAGCGUGGGGAUCAAACAGGAUUAGAUACCCCCGUAGUCCCUGUCUCUUAUAA
RNAcentral lists this ribosomal RNA (301 nucleotides) under uncultured bacterium. RNAcentral's name for it is "partial 16S ribosomal RNA". It matches the Rfam family "Bacterial small subunit ribosomal RNA", at positions 509 to 809 of the family's 1533-position model. The record is from RNAcentral.